UCCCAGCGUAUCCGUACUCCCAUCUCACAGACUCCAGCCCCAAAAGGACCUUCCCCUCCGUGAGUUCACCUCAAGCCUGGUGAUGAGCACGCAGAGAUCGUUCUGACGAUGAGCUAAGGCUUGCUGAGGAUGGAAAGAAGCGGACCACAGAUGUGCUGUGUGUAUAUUUCCCAGGAAGGGCACGGGAAGGCCCCCCAGAGCCCUCCCCGGGGCAGAGAAGGCAGGUGGCACAGAGAGUUCUGGAAAGGCAGACGAUCAGAACUGACAGACAGGCCACCUGCCCUGAGAAGACACCCUCCUCCCCGAUCUCGCCCAGCCCUCCCGCUACCUGUCUCGAAACCUCACACAUUCAAGGCAGACGUGUCAUGCCACCUGGAUCACUCACCUGCCACAACCUUCUUCCAAAUUAGGUCAAUCCGUUUUCUAUCCUAUUACCAACCCUGCAAUAACUUUGCUAUAGCUGAGCAUGUCAGGGAAGGACCACUUUCCUGAGGAGAGACGUUAUCGCAUUUUAUUGUCACAGCAAACCUGGGGGAUGCUGGGCUUUGGGGUAGGUUAUUCCCAUCUCGGGCCAAUGAGGAAAUUGAGGCACAAGGAGUUUAAAAUUCAUUCAUUCAUUCAUUCAAAUGAAGUAAAAUUCAAUCAACCCUCCAUAGCUGUGAGUUCUGCAUCUGUUUAUUCAAUCAGCCACAAAGAGAAUAUUUACAGAAAAAUUCUGGAAAGUUCCAAAAAGCAAAGCUUGUGUUUGCCACAGACAGGCAACUGUUUACACAGCCCAUACAUUGUCUAUACAGUGCAUAAAAUAUCCAGGAGGAUAUGUGUAGGUUAUACACCAUUAUAUAUGCCAUUUUAGAGUAAGAGAAUUGAGCAUCCUCCGAUUUCGGUAUGAAGAGGAGGCAGUCCUGGAACCAAUCCCUGUGGACACUGAGGUGUGACUGUUGAAAUGAAAUGUAAUGAAAUGAGGAGUUCCCACCGUGGCUCAGCAGUUAAUGAAUCAGACUAGUAUCUAUGAGGACGUGGGUUCAAACCCUGACCUCACUCAGUGAAUUAAGGAUCCAGCACUGCUGUGGUUGUGGCCCAGGCCAGCAGCUGCAGCUCCAAUUCGACCCCUAGCCUGGGAAUCUCCAUGUGCCGCAGCUGCGGCCCUAAAAAAACAAAAGACUUUAAAAAAAAAAAAAUGAAAUGAAAUGAAAGCAACGUUACCACUGUAGGACUAGAAUCUUGGUCCCCAGACUCCUAGCCGUUUGCCACCCUCGUGGCCAGCCUUGUACAGCCCACGCAUGACGAUUACCUUUCACUCCUUUGCUUCUGGCCUCCGCUUGCAGAACCCUCAAAGAUGGCAAAAGAUGUGACCCACAUGCCCCUGUGCCAGUGCCUAAUUAUUCCUCAAGACCUCAAGGCCCUGCCUGAGCUUCGCCCAUGGGCUCGCUGAUGCACCGUGGGGAUGCCGCACAUGAAGGAACCAGGAAAGACACCAGCAGCAGCAACAGGUCCCCCAGCAUCCAGCGGGCAAGACAGCCAAGACCCUGAAGAUGGGGGUCACAGAGCUGAACAGCACGUGUAGGCUGCCAAGCACACCUGGGCCUCGUGGCCAGCAGGGCAGCUAGAGGGGCCUGGAGCAGAGCCGCUGCAGUGGGGCCGGAGGUGGUCAGUGGCCCAGGGAAAGCCCUGCCUCCUGGAGCCUCCUCUUUGAUCUUUUGUUUGUUUGGUUGGUUUUUUGGGUUUUUUAGGGCUGCACCUGAAGCAUAUGGAGCUUCCCAGACUAGGGGUCAAAUCGGAGCUACAGCUGCUGGUCUACGCCACAGCCACACCAACGCGGGACCUGAGACGCAUCUUUGACCUACACCAAAGCUCAUGGCAACGCCAGAUCCUUAACUCACUGAGCGACGCCAGGGAAUGAACCUGUGUCCUUGUGGUUCCUAGGCAGAUUUGUUUCUGCUGAGCCACAACGGGAACUCCUCCUCUUUGAUCUCAGCACUUUCUUCUCACCAAAUCCAUGAACAGUUAAGCUCACCAGGGGAGUGGCUCCAGGAGAAAAGAGAUGGCUGUCAUCUGUGUUGGGGACAGAGACAGUCCCCACAAGAGAAAACGACAGGUGGGAGAUAAACUUCAUGGCAGAAAUUCUCUAAGAAACCAUCCUAUUUUGGACUUAGGCUGGGCCAGGGUCAGACAGUAGUUUUACUGGACACUCAGAGGCAGGGAUUGUUCCCAGAAGGGAAAAGCAGGCAUCCAGGCAGGACCCCCAACCCAGAAGAACCAGGAUAUCUGUCAGGAGAACAAGCAGGAAGGAGCUCAGCCUCAGAGGAACAAGCCUGGGUCACAGAGGACAGGAAAGAAUGCAGUCCUGCCAACAGGACAGAGCUCACAUCAGGCUGACCUGCUUGAAUCUCUCAACAUCUGGCCCAGGCUCCUUCCAUCCUGGUGGGUGGCUCCUGCCAAAGCCUUUGACCUUCCCAGGGGGGCCCUGGAGCCACCUCCUGGGCAGCCAAGGCCUCCUCCACCUUCCCCCGGAGAACAUUCUCUGGCUGCGGGAGCUUCCUCGACCCCUUCUGAGGCGGGUAUAAGUGCCAGGAGUUCAUGUUUUUCUGAGUGACCCUCAUCUGAGGGGUAGACACCCCACCUUCUUGCCCCCCGGGAUACAAUUCCAAGGCAUGUUUCCACGGCCUAUCAGAGAAUUCCAGAAGGACUGGGCUCCCGUCGCCCACAGUGACAAGCCACUCACUAACUCCCUCUUUCCUGCCCCUUCUCCCUCACCUGCAGCCUGGGAUCAUUUCCCAAACUCCCUGUGCCGAAAUAUUGCUUGUCUCAGGGUUGGUUUUGCAGGGAAUCCAAACAGAAGCACCUGCGAGGGACUGACUGUGCCCCCAGGAAAGGUAUGUUGAAGUCCCAAACCCCAGGACCUCAGAAUGUGAACCUAUUUGAAAAAUAAGGCCAUUGCAGAUGCAAUUAAUUAAGAUUAGGUGAUACUGGGAGUUCCCGUUGUGGCUCAGCAGUAAUGAACCUGGCUAGUAUCCAUGAGGCCACAGGUUGGAUUCCUGGCCUUGCUCAGUGGGUUAAGGUUCUGGUGUCCCCAUGAGCUGUGGUGUAGGUCAUAGACACGGCUCAGAUCCUACGUUGCUGUGGCUGUGGUGUAGGCCGGUGGCUACAGCUCCAGUUCCACCCCUAGCCUGGGAACCUCCACAUGCCACA
This 3189-nucleotide long non-coding RNA is filed under the name Sus scrofa (pig). RNAcentral describes it as "lncRNA (ENSSSCG00050047764.1)". The record is from RNAcentral. Lineage: Eukaryota; Metazoa; Chordata; Mammalia; Artiodactyla; Suidae.